GGGUUGUGAGGUUAAGUGACUAAGCGUACACGGUGGAUGCCUAGGCAGUCAGAGGCGAUGAAGGGCGUGCUAAUCUGCGAAAAGCGUCGGUAAGGUGAUAUGAACCGUUACAACCGGCGAUACCCGAAUGGGGAAACCCAGUGUGUUUCGACACACUAUCAUGUCAUGAAUACAUAGUGGCAUGAGGCGAACCGGGGGAACUGAAACAUCUAAGUACCCCGAGGAAAAGAAAUCAACCGAGAUUCCCCCAGUAGCGGCGAGCGAACGGGGAGGAGCCCAGAACCUGAAUCGGCUUGUGUGUUAGUGGAAGCGUCUGGA
Molecule: ribosomal RNA, 318 nt
Filed under: Serratia marcescens
Lineage: Bacteria; Pseudomonadati; Pseudomonadota; Gammaproteobacteria; Enterobacterales; Yersiniaceae
Description: bacterial LSU rRNA
Rfam family: Bacterial large subunit ribosomal RNA
Source: RNAcentral